GUCGUAACAAGGUCUCCGUAGGUGAACCUGCGGAGGGAUCAUUACACAAAUAUGAAGGCGGGCUGGAACCUCUCGGGGUUACAGCCUUGCUGAAUUAUUCACCCUUGUCUUUUGCGUACUUCUUGUUUCCUUGGUGGGUUCGCCCACCACUAGGACAAACAUAAACCCUUUGUAAUUACAAUCAGUGUCAGUAACAAAUUAAUAAUUACAACUUUCAACAACGGAUCUCUUGGUUCUGGCAUCGAUGAAGAACGCAGCGAAAUGUGAUAAGUAGUGUGAAUUGCAGAAUUCAGUGAAUCAUCGAAUCUUUGAACGCACAUUGCGCCCUUUGGUAUUCCAAAGGGCAUGCCUGUUCGAGCGUCAUUUGUACCCUCAAGCUUUGCUUGGUGUUGGGCGUCUUGUCUCUAGCUUUGCUGGAGACUCGCCUUAAAGUAAUUGGCAGCCGGCCUACUGGUUUCGGAGCGCAGCACAAGUCGCACUCUCUAUCAGCAAAGGUCUAGCAUUCAUUAAGCCUUUUUUUCAACUUUUGACCUCGGAUCAGGUAGGGAUACCCGCUGAACUUAAGC
RNAcentral lists this ribosomal RNA (566 nucleotides) under uncultured fungus. RNAcentral's name for it is "eukaryotic LSU rRNA". The stretch from base 210 to 363 matches the Rfam family "5.8S ribosomal RNA". Lineage: Eukaryota; Fungi. The record is from RNAcentral.